AUGGCAUUUAAUCUGUUAUUAGACUCAAUUGGCUUCUCUCAAAAUGUAAAAGAACACACCCACCACUUUAAUCACACUCUAGAUCUUGUUUUAACAUAUGGCAUAGAAACUGAACAUUUAACAGUGUUUCCUGAAAACCCUCUCCUGUCUGACCAUUUCCUGAUAACAUUUACAUUUACAAUAACUGAUUACACAGCAGUGGAGAGUAGACUUUAUCACAGUAGAUGUCUUUCUGAAAGCGCUGUAACUAAGUUUAAGAAUAUAAUCCACCCACUGUUAUCAUCUUCAAUGCCCUGUACCAACAUAGAGCACAGCAGCUAUCUGAAUGCUACCCCAACAGAGGUCGAUUAUCUUGUUAAUAAUUUUACCACCUCACUACGUACGACGCUGGAUACUGUAGCUCCUGUGAAAACUAAGGCCUCAAAUCCGAAGUACCUGACUCCGUGGUAUAAUUCUCAAACACGUAGCCUAAAGCAGAUUACUCGUAAGCUGGAGAGGAAAUGGCGUGUCACAAAUUUAGAGGAUCAUCAAUUAGCCUGGAGAAAUAGUUUGCUGCUUUAUAAGAAAGCCCUCCGCAAAGCCAGAACAUCUUACUAUUCGUCACUGAUUGAAGAAAAUAAGAACAACCCCAGGUUUCUCUUCAGCACUGUAGCCAGGCUGACAAAAAGUCAGAGCUCUUUUGAGCCAACAAUCCCUUUAACAUUAACUAGUAAUGACGUCAUGAACUUCUUCACAAAUAAAAUUUUUAUCAUUAGAGAAAUAAUUACCAAUAAUCAUCUCACAGAUGUAAUAUUAUCUACAGCUACAUUUAGUACCAUUGAUAUUCAGUUAGACUCUUUAACUCCAAUUGAUCUUUCUGAGUUCACUUCAAUAAUUAAUUCCUCCAAACCAUCAACGUGUCUUUUAGACCCCAUUCCUACAAAACUGCUCAAAGAAGUCCUGCCAUUAAUUAAUUCUUCGAUCUUAAAUAUGAUCAACCUAUCUCUAAUAAUUGGCUAUGUACCACAGGCCUUCAAGGUGGCUGUAGUUAAACCUUUACUCAAAAAGUCAUCUCUAGACCCAGCUGUCUUAGCUAAUUAUAGGCCAAUCUCCAACCUUCCUUUCAUAUCAAAAAUCCUUGAAAGAGUAGUUGUCAAACAGCUAACAGAUCAUCUGCAGAGGAAUGGCUUAUUUGAAGAGUUUCAGUCAGGUUUCAGAGCUCAGCACAGCACAGAAACAGCUUUAGUGAAGGUUACAAAUGAUCUUCUUAUGGCCUCUGACAGUGGACUCAUCUCUGUGCUUGUCCUGCUAGACCUCAGUGCAGCGUUCGAUACUGUCGACCAUAAUAUCCUAUUAGAGCGACUAGAACAUGCUGUAGGUAUUAAAGGUACUGCACUGCAGUGGUUUGUAUCAUAUCUAUCUAAUAGACAAGGUCAAGGUCAAUUAUCAUAG
RNAcentral lists this long non-coding RNA (1431 nucleotides) under Oreochromis niloticus (Nile tilapia). Its description in RNAcentral is "lncRNA (ENSONIG00000039970.1)". The record is from RNAcentral. Lineage: Eukaryota; Metazoa; Chordata; Actinopteri; Cichliformes; Cichlidae.